RNAcentral lists this ribosomal RNA (508 nucleotides) under Torulaspora delbrueckii. Its description in RNAcentral is "partial small subunit ribosomal RNA". The stretch from base 247 to 508 matches the Rfam family "Bacterial small subunit ribosomal RNA", at positions 557 to 872 of the family's 1533-position model. The record is from RNAcentral. Lineage: Eukaryota; Fungi; Ascomycota; Saccharomycetes; Saccharomycetales; Saccharomycetaceae.
CGAAAGAUUUGAUCCAGUUACUUAUUAGGAUGAUAUAUAACAAUAUAUAUAUAUAAAUUUAUAUAUAAAAAUAAUAUAUAUAUAAAUUGAUUAAAAAUAAAAUCCUUAAAUAGUGAAAAUAAUGAUAUUAACUACCAUAAUAUUAUUAUGGAUAUAAUAUAUUCUAUAUAUUAUAUUUUAAUAGUCCUAACCAAAAUUUGUGCCAGCAGCUGCGGUAAUACAAUGGGGGCUAGCGUUAAUCAUAAUGGCUUAAAGGGUCCGUAGAAUUAUUUAAAAAUAAAUUAGAGUUAAUAAAUUUAAUUAAAGAAUUAUAAUAGUAAAGAUGAAAUAAUUAUAAUAAUUAUAAGACUUAUAUAUGUGAAAAUAUUAAUUAAAUAUUAACUGACAUUGAUGGACGAAAGCUAGAGUAGCAAUACGGAUUCGAUACCCGAGUAGUUCUAGCUGUAAACUAUGAACACCAUAAUUUAUUUAUUUAAAAUAAAUUAUAAAUGAAAAUGUAAGUGUCCGC